This 474-nucleotide ribosomal RNA is filed under the name uncultured bacterium. Its description in RNAcentral is "bacterial SSU rRNA". It matches the Rfam family "Bacterial small subunit ribosomal RNA", at positions 335 to 802 of the family's 1533-position model. The record is from RNAcentral.
ACUCCUACGGGAGGCAGCAGUAGGGAAUCUUCCACAAUGGACGAAAGUCUGAUGGAGCAACGCCGCGUGAGUGAAGAAGGGUUUCGGCUCGUAAAACUCUGUUGUUAAAGAAGAACAUAUCUGAGAGUAACUGUUCAGGUAUUGACGGUAUUUAACCAGAAAGCCACGGCUAACUACGUGCCAGCAGCCGCGGUAAUACGUAGGUGGCAAGCGUUGUCCGGAUUUAUUGGGGCGUAAAGCGAGCGCAGGCGGUUUUUAAGUCUGAUGUGAAAGCCUUCGGCUCAACCGAAGAAGUGCAUCGGAAACUGGGAAACUUGAGUGCAGAAGAGGACAGUGGAACUCCAUGUGUAGCGGUGAAAUGCGUAGAUAUAUGGAAGAACACCAGUGGCGAAGGCGGCUGUCUGGUCUGUAACUGACGCUGAGGCUCGAAAGUAUGGGGUAGCAAACAGGAUUAGAUACCCUGGUAGGAUAGCG